CAAUGAAGGAAGCAUGGUAACGUGGACAUAAAUUGAAUUGGAUCUCUAGGUCUGCACUCUCUCAUGCCAUUUGGCUUUGAUUUGGGGGCAUGGUUCCGCAGCAAAACA
Molecule: small nucleolar RNA, 108 nt
Organism: Rhododendron vialii
Lineage: Eukaryota; Viridiplantae; Streptophyta; Magnoliopsida; Ericales; Ericaceae
Product: small nucleolar RNA snoR100
Exons: 1
Source: RefSeq, a predicted model, not a curated record